GAUGAACGCUGGCGGCGUGCCUAAUACAUGCAAGUCGAGCGAACGGACGAGAAGCUUGCUCCUCUGACGUUAGCGGCGGACGGGUGAGUAACACGUGGAUAACCUACCUAUAAGACUGGGAUAACUUCGGGAAACCGGAGCUAAUACCGGAUAAUAUAUUGAACCGCAUGGUUCAAUAGUGAAAGACGGUUUUGCUGUCACUUAUAGAUGGAUCCGCGCUGCAUUAGCUAGUUGGUAAGGUAACGGCUUACCAAGGCAACGAUGCGUAGCCGACCUGAGAGGGUGAUCGGCCACACUGGAACUGAGACACGGUCCAGACUCCUACGGGAGGCAGCAGUAGGGAAUCUUCCGCAAUGGGCGAAAGCCUGACGGAGCAACGCCGCGUGAGUGAUGAAGGUCUUCGGAUCGUAAAACUCUGUUAUUAGGGAAGAACAAAUGUGUAAGUAACUAUGCACAUCUUGACGGUACCUAAUCAGAAAGCCACGGCUAACUACGUG
RNAcentral lists this ribosomal RNA (497 nucleotides) under uncultured bacterium. RNAcentral's name for it is "partial 16S ribosomal RNA". It matches the Rfam family "Bacterial small subunit ribosomal RNA", at positions 28 to 507 of the family's 1533-position model. The record is from RNAcentral.